Molecule: ribosomal RNA, 490 nt
Filed under: uncultured bacterium
Lineage: Bacteria
Description: partial 16S ribosomal RNA
Rfam family: Bacterial small subunit ribosomal RNA
Source: RNAcentral
GAUGAACGCUAGCGGCAGGCCUAAUACAUGCAAGUCGAACGGGAUCCAGAUCAAAGCUUGCUUUGGUCUGGUGAGAGUGGCGCACGGGUGCGUAACGCGUGAGCAACCUACCCUUGUCAGGGGGAUAGCCCGGCGAAAGUCGGAUUAAUACCGCAUGACAUCAUUGAGAGGCAUCUUUCGAUGAUCAAAGAUUUAUCGGACAAGGAUGGGCUCGCGUGACAUUAGCUAGUUGGUAAGGUAACGGCUUACCAAGGCUGCGAUGUCUAGGGGCUCUGAGGGGAGAAUCCCCCACACUGGUACUGAGACACGGACCAGACUCCUACGGGAGGCAGCAGUAAGGAAUAUUGGUCAAUGGACGGAAGUCUGAACCAGCCAUGCCGCGUGCAGGAGGACGGCCCUAUGGGUUGUAAACUGCUUUUAUACGGGAACAAACGUCGGUACGUGUACCGGUCUGAGUGUACCGUAAGAAUAAGGAUCGGCUAACUCCGUG